AGACUUUGCCAAAAAAACACAGUUACUCUCAGACUUUUCCUUCAAAAAAUUUUGGAGACACAGGAAGAAAAAAAGCUUUCACCAAAAAAAAAAAAAACUCUCGACAAAUGUUUUCUUCUCUCUCAGAUCCUCCACACCAUGCCCUCGACUCCUUCUUCCGUCGUCGUAAUCUUCCGUCGUUAAGAUCCGGCCAGCUCCAGCCAUUUCCCAGCUUGAUGUCUGGACGCUGGUCCUUAUUGCAGACCUUGGCGUCAUCUUCGAUGGUUGGAUGCAGGUGGCUUUAAAAGGGGAUCUAGGGCUUUUUAUAGAUUUUGGUUAAAUUCUCGAACCUUACAAUAUAUAUGAUACUGCCACUGCUUCAUCUUCUCAGGUUUUUGGAAUUUGCCUUUGAUUUUUCUCUUAAACUAUGGCAACGGGAUGCGAAAUGGUUAUAUCUGAAACCAUGAGAGGUUAUCAUUGCCGUUCUCGGAGUUUAUCAGAUUCUGCAAGCAGCAUAUAAGAAGUAUAGAGAAUGAUUCAUGUGUUAAUGCUAUGGCAGAUUCCUAUAGUGAGGACCAUAUACCUGGACAAAUAUACCUAGCACAGGUUAUGAUGAUAUCUAGUUUUCGUCUUUGUGCUUUUGGUGUAUGUAGAGCCCGACAACAAGAGGUUGAAAAUGUGGAUAUUUUCCAGAGUUAACUAAAACGCAGCUCAAGCGGCGUUGACUAUUGCAAGAAGUGAUCUCCAAAGUCCAAGCAUUGUGGGAAAAUUUUGAAGUGACUUUGAGUUUGAAAGGUUUGAUAAAGUAUGAAACAGGUUAGACUGCUAAGAAGAUAUGAUGAUUUGCGGAAAUCAAUGGCAGUGAUCACUGAUCAUGCCAAGCUUCUCGUCAAGUUUUGAUUCUUUUGACUGUAACACAAUGUGUGGGAUUCUCGCUGUUCUUGGUUGCAUCGACAGCACUCAAGCUAAACGUUCUCGUAUCAUUGAACUCUCUCGCAGGUUGAGGCAUAGAGGUCCUGAUUGGAGUGGACUCCAUUGUCAUGAAGAUUGUUAUCUUGCUCAUGGGCGUUUAGCCAUCAUUGACCCAACUUAUGGAGAACAACCGCUCUAUAACGAAGACAAGACCAUCGUUGUCACGGUCAAUGGAGAGAUAUACAACCACAAGGUUUUGCAUGAAAAGCUCAAGUCUCAUCAAUUCCACACUGGUAGCGACUGUGAAGUGAUUGCACACCUUUACGAAGAACAUAAAGAAUACGUCUUUUUCAUACAUUGAAAGUGAACUAGUGGCUGUUCAUUAGAUUGUUUCGCAAAGUGAGCAGCUAAGAAAGGCUUGGAUGGGUUACAUGAGUUUGUCUCUGUUCUUUGUAAUGUUAGCUUUAUUUUGUUUAAGACUUGGUGGCACUUAUGUAAGACUUAUUUUGGUUAAUGUAAUAUUAAGGUUAUGUA
Molecule: non-coding RNA, 1425 nt
Organism: Camelina sativa (false flax)
Lineage: Eukaryota; Viridiplantae; Streptophyta; Magnoliopsida; Brassicales; Brassicaceae
Source: RefSeq, a predicted model, not a curated record